UGCUGUAGAAAGCCUUGCUUGUGUUUUGUGUAUAAAAAUGAAGAGAGCUCCUCGUGUGGACAGAGGGUCGCACUGAAAGAUGCUAAAAGGGUGUUAUUUACGUGUCCGCUAGCCUUUAAUACUUGCGUAUAGAACAACGGUUCCGGAAUGCUCUUUUGUGUAAUAUAUUGCUGAUCCAUUAACUAACAAAUUAUAGUUGUCAGUUUCCACUUAAUGAUCAAAUCUUAAAUAGGAGAGUAGUUUUUUCUCUCUUAAUGGUAACAUGAACUAAGGUCUUAAUCGACAUCACAAUAAAACGUCUGGAACUGGAGGUGACCCUUCGAAAAAGGUGUACUACACCACAUUUGAGGAGCAACUGCUGCCGUACAUCCACGGAGACAGUGUCAGUGGUGUUGCCGGCAUCUAUGAUUCUGACAGGAAUGUCGGCAAAGGUGGCCAACGGUGCUCUGCAGGACUGAGCUCCACUCUACCCACCGAGAUGAUUCUGAAAUGGAAGCAAAGAGAUUAAGUGGGGAUGAAAGUGACAUCAAUGUGCAUUGAUGUUGCACUUUUUUCAGAGCAUGAGCCCUCCUAAACUCCCCAACAACACCAAGUCACACAGAAGCCCAAACCCGCCCAAAAAAUGGAAGCUGAGAAAGAUCGCUUCCACAGAUCACUAAUACAGCACAUCAAGUCGUGGAUGAAAAAAUGCACACUGUCCAUCUUGACUUGUGUGUUGCCACCAAAGCCUAUAAUGACAGUCAGGCACAACAAGCUGCAUAUGAGGCAGCUAUGUUAACCCUGCAUCAGAAGCACUUGAAGGUCCAACAAGAAAAAGUGGCAUUGUUGGAAAAUCAAAAUUUACUCUUAGCCAAACAAAAUGUCCUUAUUGAGAGCAUGACACAUGCCCAAAAGGAAAUGAACACAAACUUAAUAAGUGUUCUACUUCUAGAGAUAGUGCUGAUACUUCAGCAACCACUUCUGAAGCUCCCAGUAGACAGCUGCGUAAAAAAAAAAAAUGUGCCUGUAUUUUCAAGUCAUCUUUGAUUUUUUUUUUUAAGUGGCAAAUUUUGUAUUAAGCAAUAAUAUUGAUACACAUUAGUUCUAGGUGCUUUGCAAAUAAACAUUUCUCUUUUUGCU
Long non-coding RNA from Xenopus tropicalis (tropical clawed frog), 1119 nucleotides. RefSeq lists it as uncharacterized. The transcript has 3 exons. NCBI's taxonomy places the organism in Eukaryota, Metazoa, Chordata, Amphibia, Anura, Pipidae. The record is from RefSeq and is a predicted model, not a curated record.